RNAcentral lists this ribosomal RNA (255 nucleotides) under uncultured bacterium. Its description in RNAcentral is "partial 16S ribosomal RNA". It matches the Rfam family "Bacterial small subunit ribosomal RNA", at positions 524 to 776 of the family's 1533-position model. The record is from RNAcentral.
UACGUAGGGGGCAAGCGUUGUCCGGAAUUAUUGGGCGUAAAGAGCUCGUAGGCGGUCUGUCGCGUCUGCUGUGAAAACUCGGGGCUUAACCCCGGGCCUGCAGUGGGUACGGGCAGACUAGAGUGCGGUAGGGGAGACUGGAAUUCCUGGUGUAGCGGUGAAAUGCGCAGAUAUCAGGAGGAACACCGGUGGCGAAGGCGGGGUCUCUGGGCCGUAACUGACGCUGGAGGAGCGAAAGCGUGGGGAGCGAACAGG